GCCUGGAUGGCUCAGUCGGUAAGCGCCUGACUUUGGCUCAGGUGGUCUCACGAUUUGUGAGUUAGAGCCCCACAUCGGGCU
RNAcentral lists this transfer RNA (81 nucleotides) under Felis catus (domestic cat). It matches the Rfam family "tRNA". Rfam says of the family: Transfer RNA (tRNA) molecules are approximately 80 nucleotides in length. The record is from Rfam by way of RNAcentral. Lineage: Eukaryota; Metazoa; Chordata; Mammalia; Carnivora; Felidae.